UAUAAGGGAUUUUGAGUUUUUGUUUGCAACGUUUGACCACUCGUCUUAUUCAAAAAAUUUUGAAAUUAUUAUUUAUUUUAUUUGUAACUUACUUUAUUAUCUACUGUACUUUAAGCACAACAUUUCGUUUUUUAUAUUUGCAAAAAAAAAUUGAAUAAGACGAAUGGUCAAACGUUGCAAACAAAAACUCAAAAUCCCUUAUA
Molecule: non-coding RNA, 203 nt
Organism: Oryza glumipatula
Lineage: Eukaryota; Viridiplantae; Streptophyta; Magnoliopsida; Poales; Poaceae
Source: Rfam